GAAGACGUCGGUUUGGUUGUCGGCUCCGCCCGCCUGUCUGAAGGGAAAGGGCGGAGCCAAUCCGCGGUCCGCUCAGCCCUCCUGCCCGCCCCUCGGGUCACAUGACCUCUCCGCGCGGCGCGGCGGCACCUGCAGCGCCACCUGCUGGGCUGGCGCGUCCCGCGCGUUCAGUGGGCCGCCGGGCCCAAGUCCUUUCACCUGGGCAUCUUAGCCCCUACCCCCAGGUCAAACAGUAACUGCAGCGUCAAUUUUCUUUUCUUCCUGUUUUUUCUUCAUUUUCGCCGAACACUAAUCAUCUGGUAUGCCUUUUAGUUGAACUGUCUUGUUAAGUUUACGCCCUCUGCAGCUGAGAGGUUCCUGGAACUGCAGUGAAACGAUGGAUACAGAAACCAAGGCUGCCAUAGCUGAUUGAUGUAAACAGGAGUUAAGUUCUCACGGCAUCUUAUGGCAAAACGAUGUUGAAUGAAACGAUGUUAUUUGAAGCCCUGCUUUCGCUCAAGAGAGCUUGGUGACGAACAAUCUCCCAGGAAGCACGCAGGAGAGAACCUUAAGAUGCACCGAGUGUGAGGAACUGUCAGCAGUCACGUGUGACUACCGAGAAAUCGCAUUAUUGUCCCAGAACUGUC
This is a long non-coding RNA of Myotis daubentonii (Daubenton's bat), 626 nucleotides long. RefSeq lists it as uncharacterized. The record is from RefSeq and is a predicted model, not a curated record. Lineage: Eukaryota; Metazoa; Chordata; Mammalia; Chiroptera; Vespertilionidae.